Echinostoma caproni is the source of this 82-nucleotide non-coding RNA. The record is from Rfam. NCBI's taxonomy places the organism in Eukaryota, Metazoa, Platyhelminthes, Trematoda, Plagiorchiida, Echinostomatidae.
GACCUCGUGGCUCAGCUGGUAGAGCGUGCGCUUACAAAGCGUAGGCAUUGUCCAUGCGUGGGUUCGAAUCCCACCGAGGCUA